RNAcentral lists this ribosomal RNA (446 nucleotides) under uncultured bacterium. RNAcentral's name for it is "bacterial SSU rRNA". It matches the Rfam family "Bacterial small subunit ribosomal RNA", at positions 355 to 796 of the family's 1533-position model. The record is from RNAcentral.
UCGAGGAUCUUCGGCAAUGGGCGCAAGCCUGACCGAGCGACGCCGCGUGUGGGAUGAAGGCCUUCGGGUUGUAAACCACUGUCAGUGGGGAGGAAAUACGGGUGGGUUCUCCCAUCCGCUUGACCUAUCCGCAGAGGAAGUGUGGGCUAAGCUCGUGCCAGCAGCCGCGGUAAGACGAGCCACACUAACGUUAUUCGGAAUUACUGGGCUUAAAGGGUGCGUAGGCUGUGCAGAAAGUUGGGUGUGAAAUACCUCGGCUUAACCGAGGAACUGCGCCCAAAACUACUGUGCUCGAGGAAGACAGAGGUGAGCGGAACUUAGGGUGGAGCGGUGAAAUGCGUUGAUAUCCUAAGGAACACCGGUGGCGAAAGCGGCUCACUGGGUCUUUUCUGACGCUGAGGCACGAAAGCCAGGGUAGCGAACGGGAUUAGAUACCCCCGUAGUCC